Molecule: ribosomal RNA, 449 nt
Filed under: uncultured bacterium
Lineage: Bacteria
Description: bacterial SSU rRNA
Rfam family: Bacterial small subunit ribosomal RNA
Source: RNAcentral
UCCAGACUCCUACGGGAGGCAGCAGUGGGGAAUAUUGGGCAAUGGGCGCAAGCCUGACCCAGCAACGCCGCGUGAAGGAAGAAGGCUUUCGGGUUGUAAACUUCUUUUCUCAGGGACGAAGCAAGUGACGGUACCUGAGGAAUAAGCCACGGCUAACUACGUGCCAGCAGCCGCGGUAAUACGUAGGUGGCAAGCGUUAUCCGGAUUUACUGGGUGUAAAGGGCGUGUAGGCGGGAAAGCAAGUCAGAUGUGAACACCAGGGGCUCAACCUGUGGCCUGCAUUUGAAACUGUUUUUCUUGAGUACUGGAGAGGCAGACGGAAUUCCUAGUGUAGCGGUGAAAUGCGUAGAUAUUAGGAGGAACACCAGUGGCGAAGGCGGUCUGCUGGACAGCAACUGACGCUGAGGCCCGAACGCGUGGGGAGCACACAGGAUUAGAUACCCCUGUAA